This 450-nucleotide ribosomal RNA is filed under the name uncultured bacterium. Its description in RNAcentral is "partial 16S ribosomal RNA". It matches the Rfam family "Bacterial small subunit ribosomal RNA", at positions 338 to 795 of the family's 1533-position model. The record is from RNAcentral.
CCUACGGGGGGCAGCAGUAAGGAAUAUUGGUCAAUGGACGCAAGUCUGAACCAGCCAUGCCGCGUGGAGGAUGAAGGUCCUCUGGAUUGUAAACUUCUUUUAUUUGGGAAGAAACUCCCGAUUUCCAUCGGGAUUGACGGUACCAGAUGAAUAAGCACCGGCUAACUCCGUGCCAGCAGCCGCGCUAAUACGGAGGGUGCAAGCGUUAUCGGGAUUCACUGGGGCGAAGGGGUGCGGGUAAGGCAAGGGAGAAAGCUCCGAGCUUAACCCGGAAACUGCCAUUGAUACUAUUUGUCUUGAAUACUCUGGAGGUGAGCGGAAUAUGUCAUGUAGCGGUGAAAUGCUUAGAUAUGACAUAGAACACCCAUUGCGAAGGCAGCUCACUACGGAAAUAUUGACGCUGAGGCACGAAAGCGUGGGGAUCAAACAGGAUUAGAUACCCGUGUAGUC